UACGUAGGUGACAAGCGUUGUCCGGAUUUACUGGGCGUAAAGAGCGCGCAGGCGGUCGUUCAAGUCGAGUGUGAAAGCCCCCGGCUCAACUGGGGAGGGUCACUCGAUACUGAUCGACUCGAAGGCAGGAGAGGGUAGUGGAAUUCCCGGUGUAGUGGUGAAAUGCGUAGAUAUCGGGGGGAACACCAGUGGCGAAGGCGACUACCUGGCCUGUUCUUGACGCUGAGGCGCGAAAGCUAGGGGAGCAAACGGG
RNAcentral lists this ribosomal RNA (253 nucleotides) under uncultured bacterium. RNAcentral's name for it is "partial 16S ribosomal RNA". It matches the Rfam family "Bacterial small subunit ribosomal RNA", at positions 524 to 776 of the family's 1533-position model. The record is from RNAcentral.